This 53-nucleotide transfer RNA is filed under the name Vulpes vulpes (red fox). RNAcentral's name for it is "partial tRNA-Thr". The record is from RNAcentral. Lineage: Eukaryota; Metazoa; Chordata; Mammalia; Carnivora; Canidae.
GUCUUUGUAGUAUAUUAAUUACAUUGGUCUUGUAAACCAAAAAUGGAGAUUAA